CACGUAGGGGCGAGCGUUGUCCGGAAUUACUGGGCGUAAAGGGCGCGCAGGCUGUUAUGCGAGUCUGCUGUGAAAUGUACCGGCUCAACCGGUGCCUUGCGGCGGAUACUGCAUAGCUGGAGUACUGGAGAGGGAAGUGGAAUUCCCGGUGUAGCGGUGAAAUGCGUAGAUAUCAGGAGGAACACCGAUGGCGAAGGCAGGUCUCUGGGACACUACUGACGCUGAGAAGCGAAAGCAUGGGGAGCGAACAGGA
RNAcentral lists this ribosomal RNA (253 nucleotides) under uncultured prokaryote. RNAcentral's name for it is "partial 16S ribosomal RNA". It matches the Rfam family "Bacterial small subunit ribosomal RNA", at positions 524 to 777 of the family's 1533-position model. The record is from RNAcentral.